Molecule: transfer RNA, 361 nt
Filed under: uncultured Microcystis sp.
Lineage: Bacteria; Bacillati; Cyanobacteriota; Cyanophyceae; Chroococcales; Microcystaceae
Description: partial miscellaneous RNA
Rfam family: tRNA (bases 133-206)
Source: RNAcentral
AAGGGAGACCUAAUUCAGGUAUAAGACGAAAAAAAAGUAGUCCCUACCAAGAAUCAAUCCCAAAAGGUCGGAACGAGGUAUGAGGCUUUCAAACUAGGUUCUGGGUUCAUAAAAGACCUGAAUCAGGAACAAGGGCUAUUAGCUCAGGUGGUUAGAGCGCACCCCUGAUAAGGGUGAGGUCCCUGGUUCGAGUCCAGGAUGGCCCACCUGCACAGGUGGCAAAAACAAGAGAAGCGAGGAAUCAGCACCUUAUCUUAUAUACAUAUAUAAGAGAGAAUGCUGGCUCUGAGUACAGAGUCCAGAGGAACCUUGAAAACUGCAUAGAGCUAGGUGAAAAAGCCAAAAAAGAAGACCGCCUCAA